Molecule: non-coding RNA, 29 nt
Filed under: Rattus norvegicus (Norway rat)
Lineage: Eukaryota; Metazoa; Chordata; Mammalia; Rodentia; Muridae
Source: RNAcentral
UCCUGCUACCACAAGGGCAUGUCUGGAAU